Ostrea edulis (European flat oyster) is the source of this 3439-nucleotide long non-coding RNA. RefSeq lists it as uncharacterized. Lineage: Eukaryota; Metazoa; Mollusca; Bivalvia; Ostreida; Ostreidae. The transcript is spliced from 2 exons. The record is from RefSeq and is a predicted model, not a curated record.
UUCCUUUGAUACAUCACAUGACCACCACUCAAAGACUUUCAAUUUAGAAAUCCUGGCAAUCCACUCACCUCACCAAAAACCUGGAUUGACCAUAUUAAAAUUUUUUACAAUGGUUCAGCAGAGACAGCCUUUCAAAAACUCUUAAAACGAAGGGAUGAAGGAUGACUAUAAAUCUUAGUAAUUAUUAAAAUCAUUGGCUAUAAUCAGGUCACAAUCUAAUAUUACAAGAUAACUGUAGACACUUCUAAUUAGACAAGCCUUAAUUAGUCAAAUAUAAUGAAACCAGCUCUUUUCUUUUUUUAUAAGAGUUUUCCCUUCUUUAAUCCCAUGAUACGAAUUGUGAGUUUUGAAACCAACUCAGCCACAUAGGGUUGUGACCCAACUGAACUUGAAUCCACAUAAUAUGGGGAUGUCUCAACAUGAUUAGCAUGGCCUUGACCUUCUGGAGAUAUUUUUUAAUCAAACAUAUUUUCUCCUACACUGUAUUUAUGUAUUAUGUAGAAUUUGUUCCUUGAUUUUUAGCCAUAUCCUAUGCCCCGAGUCCAUGAAAAAAAAAUCUCAAUUCAGAGUAUUUUAAUAUAUAUAUAUAUAUGAUUUAGUGUGGUCCUGUUACUAGUAAUUUGUAUGAUAUCUUAAAUUCCCUAUAUUUCUAUGCAACAUUUUGAUUCCCUAUUUAAAGGUCAAGGUUUUCAACAGGUCAGUUUUCCUCAGGUAAGUUAUGGUAGCUCAUCACACUAAAUUUUUAUUUAAUGGCUCAUUAAAACACCUCUUAUGAAGUAUGAUUUCACCAUCGAAAAAGAGAUUGAUACAAGCUCUCAUUCAAUAUUUCUGGGAAAUCUGGGCAUUGUUUGAAAAUAUAUUCUAAUUUCAGUUCAUUAGAGCUGAGUUAGGUGACAAUUUUUUUCUUCAGAUGAAACUGAUCUGAUGCAGAGGGUUGGAAACCAGGCUAGAAUGAAUCACAGGAGUUUGAAGUUUUAUCAAUAAAGUCAAUCGAGUGAAUUUUAUUGACUUAAUUGAUAAAAUUUCGAACUCCUGUGAAUCAAUCCAGUUUGACUUAGAUAAAACCUUACAGACUGUGAUACUGUUGUAGACAGGGGUGAGCCGUUCUGGGAACAACUUGCCCAGCUACCAAGAUGACGUAGGCCGUCUGUAGGCUUUGCAAACGGCCUGGCUACAUGUGUCACUUGCACAGCUGAUGCAAACUGAUAUGGAUACAACAGACAGAUAUCCGAGAUGAUAUGCAGACAGAGAUCAGAUGAGGUGAGCCUCCUUAAGGAGAAGAACCUGACAGAUAUACUGUGUAUAUUUAUACCUAAAUAAAUACGAUAUUGGCAUCCAACGUGGGGCCCGAACCCAUGACCAUGAUGUUCUACCGACUGAGCUAGCCGGUAGUCGCCCUGUUGAAAAUGAAAGGGGAACUGCCAUGGGGGACCAGGUCAGUCAGGUCCAAGGAGGAGAGAAUCGCAGGAUACCAGAUCCUGACCUCCACCUAAAUGUGUCACUUCACCCCGGCAGACAGAGCCCACAAUGCUGCGUCCGAGGACCCCAACCCCAUUGCCACCGAGAGCCCCGGUUCUGGAAACUGGUUUUCCAGAUGGUGCUCAGGGAGGACCCAUGCCCAUUUGGGCUAUGCUGGACGUAGAAGGGGAGAUCCGCACCCCAAGGACAGAGGAACUACUUACAGGGCAUUGGCCAGGGCACGUGGUGGGCCGGCAUGGUGGAAUACCCUGAGCAGCCAGGAUUUCUCUGGCAUCUUUGGGUGUAUCUGACGGCAGAAUGGUUGAGGAUGUCGUGCCACCCUGGACCUCCGACCUUCCUGAACAUGACCCAGACCAUUCCCCAACCUUAUCUAGGCAGGUACUGGCAUUACUCAGUUGUCUUUCUCUGUUGGGCUUCAGCCCUGUCUACCUGGUUUUCGCCCUGGAGGGAGUGCCUCUGGGCAGGGUGUUAGACAUCCACCUUAAAUAAACAUCAUUCCCUGGACCACGUUCAUGCUGGCAUAAGCUAUGAACCCCGUAAUUUUGGAGAAAACAGGGGGUAGUGUAGUAGAUGGGGGCGAAUUGUUCUGGGAAUGACUCACCCAGUCACCGGGAUGACGUAGACCAUGCGCGGGUUUUGCGCACAGCCUGGCUACAUGUAACAGAUAGAUGCGAUACUUAAAGCAGUGUGGACGGGUUGCAGCACCGAUAGUUCACAGAGACCAGAGGCAAGACUCCCGUAGGAGAACCUGUUACUGUGUAUAUAACUGAAUAAAUACGAUAAUACUUUUUGUCGCUUUGUUGUGCAGGGUUUGACACUAAGGCAUGUCAGACCGACCAAGUCUACUAAAUUAUAGGUCCGGUCAGCUAAAAUGCCAACUUACUAGUCCGAGCGGUCAUGUUGAAAAAAUAAACAAGAAACUUAAUUACUUUAAACCAUAAGAUAUUUUAUUCUUAAAUAAAAAAAAAAAUAACUGUAGAGUUUGCGAGCAAUUAAGAACCACGUGAUGACAUAUCUUGGUCAGAAGUGAUGUUUUACGACAUCUACUUGAUGUUAAUGUGUGUAAAGUUAUGUUUCCGAUAAAUAUAUAUUGAAUUCAUGUUUUUAAAAAAACAGCUUAUUUGAAUUAGAUGUAUGAAAUUGUUUAUCAAAUUAAUCAAUUACGUCGUAAACAGCCAUUUCUCGGUGUUGACAUAUGUGCGGGAAUGUCUCUAUAUUCAAAUAUGACCUCUCGUCCUCAAGGAAAGAUGUCCCAAGAGGAAAAAAAGGAAAAGGUUGGGAAGAAACAAAGCAGGACUUAUGAAACAGAAUCCUUUUUAAAAAAUGGCUGAGGUCAUUUGAUUCUAAAUGGACUAAAGAAUUUCCAUGCUGGCUAGAAUUUAAAGAAACAGAAAAUGUGUUUGAAAAUAAAAGCAUCAAAUUGAAUGACGAGACAAUUAAAUAUCUGUUUUAGUUUAAAUUUAACAUUUGUCAUUUGAAGUAUUUAAAUAUGGAGAAACUAUCAAGGUUUUUUUCUGGAAAGUUGGUCAGGUCUAGUGGAUGUAAGGUCAGGUCUAGUGGGUGCAAGGUCAGGUCUACACUAUCAAACUUCCGUUAUAUAAGCCGUCUCUUGCAAAGAACGAUAACUCGUGCGUAGGGGCAAUAACCUUUACCGUAUUUCCGGUUGCAAGAACGUCGAGCCCUACUUUCGCUAUAGCCGCGCGCUAUUCUCUCGAGCCCUCUACAGACAAGAAAAUGUCGUGUGAGUCGUAGUCUACAUGCUGUACAAAUUUCAGGAGGAUGAAUGUUCACAGAGUCACUGCCAAUGUCAAUAUAAUAAAGGGAGGUGAUUGCAGCUUUGAAGUUUUCUUUGGGAUGAGACUUGGAAUUAAUGGGAAUUUUCACUCCACAGAGCCUACACAUACACUUUAACUUUAAUUCAUGCUCCAUUUCUGUAGAAAAAAUAAAGUUUUGAAUAGAU